Molecule: long non-coding RNA, 1347 nt
Organism: Rattus rattus (black rat)
Lineage: Eukaryota; Metazoa; Chordata; Mammalia; Rodentia; Muridae
Exons: 2
Source: RefSeq, a predicted model, not a curated record
GCAGCGUCGUCCCCCACGAACCUCCCUGCCCCCUGCUCCUGAUUCCCUUUCAGGAAUUUACAAACAUUUUUCCCUAGAUCAAUAUCCGUAUUGAUUAUUCAUUGUGAGCGAGUCGUGUGUCUUUGGUGAUCCAGCUUGCAGAGGGUAGCAGCUAAAGACUGCUGCAGGGGGAAAAAAUAACAGAAGGUGAGAAGGACCCAGCUCUGACUGGGGUCUGCGGCUGUCACAUCACAGAGAGGAAGAAGAAGAGAAUGCUCCAGAAUGAAAGGAUGGAGAAGGGUGGAAGAGAAAGAGGGAGCGACAGCAAGAAAGAAAGAUGCGAGGACUGCAUCUGGUCUUAGGGAUCUCAAUGGCUUGGAGGAAAGCCCCAUCAUCUUGGGUCUGCUGCUAGGUGCAAAAUGCCGUGCGUUCCUCUGCUCUGGGAGUGAACAGUGACUCACGGUUUUGGUGUCUUCCUACGUAAGAGCUUUUGGUGGGGGGAUUCCUUGGCUUGCUGACAGACAAGGAAGGACGCAGCAGCAGUGAGGUAAAAGAAGAGGAAGAAAAAAAAAAAAAGCAACCCAGUCCUUUCCAACCGAUUCGCCGAGGAUGUGCACCGGUUCGGUUUGAUUUGAACAGCUUGCUGCUCUAAAUGGCAUGCAGGAGGAUAAUUAAAAAGGCCAGCAUCACUUACUAAGGAUUACUGGAAAAGACGGUGAGAGGAUGACAGGAAGACAUCUUGGAUCAGAGCCAAAAAAAUAAUAAUCAAGGCAAAUCAAGUCUGCAGUUCGGAGAAAACACCCAUGGCUUGGGAAGCUCCGAAGGGGACCUGGGAACUGCUGGAGUUCUUCAGCCGAGGCUGGGAAUAUUGUUGUGGGCACAAGAGGACAAGAUUGGGGGAAGUCAUGGCAUGCCAGCUUACACAGCUAAGCCACACACUGAGGAAAAAGAAAAGCCACACCAGAUCCACACCAGACCCAAACAGUGAGAGCCAACAUAUCCUUUGCUUUGGAAUCUUUCUGCUGGCCCCAAGUCAUUCCGUCUAUUUAGAGCAAUUCCACAACAUGCCUCCUGCCAGUAGCUGCUAUUCCCCUUGUCUGUCUUCAGAAGCUGCCUCACGGUUGAACGGGAGAGUGGAAAGAGGGGAGACUCAGUUUUCCAUUGGCUGGCAUUCUGGCAAAUGGGCCAGGUGAUUGUGUUUGCCAUUUGGACAGACAUACGGGAGCUGGUUGGGGAUUCCUCUCUGUUGUCACCCAGCUGUGGCUUGGUGAGUCCCAAACCAACCGUGAACUCUCUUUAUACACUGUUCCAAACGCAUAUGGACAAGGUGGGGACCCCAAGGAAUAAAAACAGUUGGAUUUUCUUUUC